GACGAACGCUGGCGGCGUGCUUAACACAUGCAAGUCGAACGGUGAAGCGCUUGCCUUUUUGGUGGGUGUGGAUGAGUGGCGGACGGGUGAGUAACACGUGAGUAACCUGCCCUCUUCUUCUGGAUAACCUCAUGAAAGUGGGGCUAAUACGGGGUAUUCCGGGUCUGUCGCAUGGCGGGUUUGGGACAGAUUGUGCCUUUGGGUGCUUUCGGUGGGGGAUGGGCUCGCGGCCUAUCAGCUUGCUGGUGGGGUGCUGGCCUGCCAAGGCGGUGACUGGUAGCCGGGCUGAGAGGGUGGACGGCCGCACGGGGACUGGGACACGGUGGAGACGACUGCGGGAGGAGGCAGUGAGGGGUAUUGCACGAGGGGCGCAAGGCUGAUGGGGCGGCGCCGCGUGGGGGAUGGGGGGCGUGGGGUUGUGAGCCUCUUGGGCCAGAGAAGGAGGCCUGCUCCUGUGUGGGUGGGUUGACGGUAGCUGGAUAAGAAGCGCCGGCUAACUACGUG
This 504-nucleotide ribosomal RNA is filed under the name uncultured bacterium. RNAcentral describes it as "partial 16S ribosomal RNA". It matches the Rfam family "Bacterial small subunit ribosomal RNA", at positions 28 to 507 of the family's 1533-position model. The record is from RNAcentral.